AGGGAAGCGCUCGUGCCCACCUUGCUCGCAGGUGCCCUUGCUGACCUGGGUGAUGGCCUUCUCCCCGCGGCUCUCGGCCCUCUGGCUGGCGGCGCGCAGCUGGCAGCCGCUCGGGUAGGGCAGCAGCCGCACGCGUCGCGGGUCUCGCCCAGCAGGCAGCCCAGCGGGGGCAGGGGCGGGCAGGAGGCCGGCUCGCAGGGGCCGCAGGUGUCCGAAGAGGAGGAAGAGGA
This 230-nucleotide long non-coding RNA is filed under the name Homo sapiens (human). Its description in RNAcentral is "HSALNT0319787". Lineage: Eukaryota; Metazoa; Chordata; Mammalia; Primates; Hominidae. The record is from RNAcentral.